AACGAACGCUGGCGGCGUGGAUAAGACAUGCAAGUCGAACGGGAACUUCAGCUGUAGCAAUACAGUUGAAGUUUUAGUGGCGAACGGGUGCGUAACACGUGGGCAAUCUGCCCGAGAAGGUGGGGGAUAGCUCGCCGAAAGGCGAAUUAAUACCGCAUAUGAUCAGCUAAGACAUCUUAGCGACAUCAAAGCCGGGGCAACCUGGCGCUUUUUUGAGGAGCCCGCGGCCUAUCAGCUAGUUGGUGAGGUAACGGCUCACCAAGGCUAUGACGGGUAGCUGGUCUGAGAGGACGACCAGUCACACUGGAACUGAGACACGGUCCAGACACCGUACGGGUGCAGCAGUCGAGUAAUUUUUCNCAAUGGGGCAACCCUGAAGGAGCGACGCCGCGUGGAGGAU
RNAcentral lists this ribosomal RNA (400 nucleotides) under uncultured bacterium. RNAcentral describes it as "bacterial SSU rRNA". It matches the Rfam family "Bacterial small subunit ribosomal RNA", at positions 29 to 409 of the family's 1533-position model. The record is from RNAcentral.